UGCAACGCGAAAACCUUACCACCUUUGACAUGUACGGAAUCCUUAGAGAUAGAGGAGUGCUCGAAAGAGAACCGUAACACAGGUGCUGCAUGGCUGUCGUCAGCUCGUGUCGUGAGAUGUUGGGUUAAGUCCCGCAACGAGCGCAACCCUUGUCAUUAGUUGCUACAUUCAGUUGGGCACUCUAAUGAGACUGCCGGUGACAAACCGGAGGAAAGGUGGGGAUGACGUCAAGUCCUCAUGGCCCUUAUAGGUGGGGCUACACACGUCAUACAAUGGAUGGUACAAAGGGUCGCCAACCCGCGAGGGGGAGCCAAUCCCAUAAAGCCAUUCGUAGUCCGGAUCGCAGUCUGCAACUCGACUGCGUGAAGUCGGAAUCGCUAGUAAUCGUGGAUCAGCAUGUCACGGUGAAUACGUUCCCGGGUCUU
Molecule: ribosomal RNA, 425 nt
Filed under: uncultured Acidovorax sp.
Lineage: Bacteria; Pseudomonadati; Pseudomonadota; Betaproteobacteria; Burkholderiales; Comamonadaceae
Description: bacterial SSU rRNA
Rfam family: Bacterial small subunit ribosomal RNA
Source: RNAcentral